Molecule: non-coding RNA, 638 nt
Organism: Odocoileus virginianus texanus
Lineage: Eukaryota; Metazoa; Chordata; Mammalia; Artiodactyla; Cervidae
Source: RefSeq, a predicted model, not a curated record
AACAUAUCAGUAGGCUGAGCCACACCAGUGGACUUCCAAUAGGCUCUGAGUUGCUGUAUGUUGAAGGACAGCAAGAAUCACUUGAUGAUUAGUUUUUCAGCAUAAUGGCAUCUGUAAACAGAAAGAGUGAAAUAAUUAAAAAACUUAAAACAGACAAAUGUCUCCUGGAGGACAUAAACGAAAGGCGAGAAUCCAACUGCCUGGUGGAAAGAAGCAAUCAAGUCAGCUUAUUGAGAGUUCAAAAGAGGCAUUUCCAUGGUGACUACAAGUCCCUUACUCAUGACCAGGUCAAAGAAAUUGUUCCCGACAGUGACAGGAGCUCUUGGGUCAAACUGAGUCUCUUCGUUCACAAGGAGAAAAGGCACUUUCCACCAAAAAAUAAUGCCAUAUUUGGAUAAAGUCCAUCUACGAAGACACAUAGAAACACAAUCUCUUUGAUCCUUCUUCAAUAUCCGUCUAAAUUAUUUACAAAUAUUAAUUAUAAGAGAAGCCAAAGAAAACUAUUCACUAGAUCAUCAAGAAACCAUUGAGCCACACAAAAUGUAUUACAUCUUCACUGCCUUCCAUCAUUUAGACUUAAAUGUUUUGAAGAGAGGAUUUGAGUUAUUAAAGAUACUUUCAGAGAUGGAUGACCUAAA